UUUAAUUCUAGUGGCGAACGGGUGAGUAACGCGUGAGGAACCUGCCUCAAAGAGGGGGACAACAGUUGGAAACGACUGCUAAUACCGCAUAAGCCCACGGCUCGGCAUCGAGCAGGGGGAAAAGGAGCAAUCCGCUUUGAGAUGGCCUCGCGUCCGAUUAGCUAGUUGGUGAGGUAACGGCCCACCAAGGCGACGAUCGGUAGCCGGACUGAGAGGUUGAACGGCCACAUUGGGACUGAGACACGGCCCAGACUCCUACGGGAGGCAGCAGUGGGGAAUAUUGCACAAUGGGGGAAACCCUGAUGCAGCGACGCCGCGUGGAGGAAGAAGGUCUUCGGAUUGUAAACUCCUGUUGUUGAGGAAGAUAAUGACGGUACUCAACAAGGAAGUGACGGCUAACUACGUGCCAGCAGCCGCGGUAAAACGUAGGUCACAAGCGUUGUCCGGAAUUACUGGGUGUAAAGGGAGCGCAGGCGGGAGAACAAGUUGGAAGUGAAAUCCAUGGGCUCAACCCAUGAACUGCUUUCAAAACUGUUUUUCUUGAGUAGUGCAGAGGUAGGCGGAAUUCCCGGUGUAGCGGUGGAAUGCGUAGAUAUCGGGAGGAACACCAGUGGCGAAGGCGGCCUACU
Molecule: ribosomal RNA, 629 nt
Filed under: uncultured Lachnospiraceae bacterium
Lineage: Bacteria; Bacillati; Bacillota; Clostridia; Lachnospirales; Lachnospiraceae
Description: bacterial SSU rRNA
Rfam family: Bacterial small subunit ribosomal RNA
Source: RNAcentral